RNAcentral lists this ribosomal RNA (158 nucleotides) under uncultured bacterium. Its description in RNAcentral is "partial 16S ribosomal RNA". It matches the Rfam family "Bacterial small subunit ribosomal RNA", at positions 355 to 509 of the family's 1533-position model. The record is from RNAcentral.
UGAGGAAUAUUGGUCAAUGGGCGCGAGCCUGAACCAGCCAAGUCGCGUGAGGAAUGACGGCCCUACGGGUUGUAAACCUCUUUUGUCGGGGAGCAAAUUCCGCCACGUGUGGCGGAGUCGAGAGUACCCGAAGAAAAAGCAUCGGCUAACUCCGUGCC